RNAcentral lists this non-coding RNA (30 nucleotides) under Mus musculus (house mouse). The record is from RNAcentral. Lineage: Eukaryota; Metazoa; Chordata; Mammalia; Rodentia; Muridae.
UCAUACCAAAUUGUGUUGAUUUCUAAAUAC